GCCUGGCUGCUCCUCAGCAUCCCCCCGGCAGUGCCUGGGGUGGGGAAGGACGACUCCAUCCCAUCCUAGGCCUGUCUCCUCUGGCUUUUCCAAGCUGGCUGGUAUUAAUGCCUCCAGGCACUUCCUGCAGGACCACAGUGCCAGGUGCUGCAGAUGCUGUUGAAGCCGCUGAGCAUCCUGACCUUUACACUGCUUUAAAAAAAAGUCCCAUUUCUGGCACACUGGCCCCGCUGCUGAAGAGCUGUUCCUCUUCCAGCUCCUUCACCUGCUGGGAUGAAAAGCUACAGGGUUGUGCUGCCAUGAAGAGGGACCCUGAUGGGCAAAGAGGAGCUUCAUGAAGUGCAACAAGGGGAAGUACAAACUCCUGCCCCUGGGGAGGAAUAACCCCACUCACCAGCACACACCAGGGACCAGCUGGAAAAGAACUUUGCAGGUAAAGACUUGGGGGGUCCUGGGGGACAACAAGCUGACCAUGAGCCAGCAGUGCAUUCUCAAAGCCAGCAACAUCAUGGCCUGGAUUAGGAAGAGUGUUGCCAGCAGGACAAGGGAGAAGAAGGAAGGUUUUGAUCCAUCCUUUUUGACUAAGGACUGCUGCCACUGGUGGAAACAGGACUGGCACCUGUGAGUGUUUCAGAUAUUUCUUGCCAGCUCUUAGGUCCAGCAAAGUGUUGCAUGAAGGAACUUUAACCCCAUUUCAAGGACUGGGAAGCAGGACACAGAUAGAGGGAAGGGACCUGCCCAGUGUCAUAUAAUUAAGCCAGUGGUGGGUUGGGAAGGCACCAGACCCUUCUCUGAGACCUGGUUCAGUUCCCUCUGUACUGGGUCAUGUUCUUGCAGGUCAUAUAUGUGUAUCCAAGAAUUGUGAGUCUACCCAAGAGGGUAAGACUGUCUGGACCAGUGAUCGGCAGGGAUCGCUGAAUGAGUUCACAGAAAAUGGGAAUGUUGUUAAAU
This is a long non-coding RNA of Empidonax traillii (willow flycatcher), 951 nucleotides long. RefSeq lists it as uncharacterized. The record is from RefSeq and is a predicted model, not a curated record. The transcript is spliced from 3 exons. NCBI's taxonomy places the organism in Eukaryota, Metazoa, Chordata, Aves, Passeriformes, Tyrannidae.